AUGAACGCUGGCGGCGUGCCUCAUACCUGCAAGUCGAGCGCACGGACGAGAAGCUUGCUUCUCUGAUGUUAGCGGCGGACGGGUGAGUAACACGUGGAUAACCUACCUAUAAGACUGGGAUAACUUCGGGAAACCGGAGCUAAUACCGGAUAAUAUUUUGAACCGCAUGGUUCAAAAGUGAAAGACGGUCUUGCUGUCACUUAUAGAUGGAUCCGCGCUGCAUUAGCUAGUUGGUAAGGUAACGGCUUACCAAGGCAACGAUGCAUAGCCGACCUGAGAGGGUGAUCGGCCACACUGGAACUGAGACACGGUCCAGACUCCUACGGGAGGCAGCAGUAGGGAAUCUUCCGCAAUGGGCGAAAGCCUGACGGAGCAACGCCGCGUGAGUGAUGAAGGUCUUCGGAUCGUAAAACUCUGUUAUUAGGGAAGAACAUAUGUGUAAGUAACUGUGCACAUCCUGACGGUACCUAAUCAGAAAGCCACGGCUAACUACGUG
RNAcentral lists this ribosomal RNA (496 nucleotides) under uncultured bacterium. Its description in RNAcentral is "partial 16S ribosomal RNA". It matches the Rfam family "Bacterial small subunit ribosomal RNA", at positions 29 to 507 of the family's 1533-position model. The record is from RNAcentral.